AUUGAACGCUGGCGGCAUGCCUUACACAUGCAAGUCGAACGGCAGCACGGGUGCUUGCACCUGGUGGCGAGUGGCGAACGGGUGAGUAAUACAUCGGAACAUGUCCUGUAGUGGGGGAUAGCCCGGCGAAAGCCGGAUUCAUACCGCAUACGAUCUACGGAUGAAAGCGGGGGACCUUCGGGCCUCGCGCUAUAGGGUUGGCCGAUGGCUGAUUAGCUAGUUGGUGGGGUAAAGGCCUACCAAGGCGACGAUCAGUAGCUAGUCUGAGAGGACGACCAGCCACACUGGGACUGAGACACGGCCCAGACUCCUACGGGAGGCAGCAGUGGGGAAUUUUGGACAAUGGGCGAAAGCCUGAUCCAGCAAUGCCGCGUGUGUGAAGAAGGCCUUCGGGUUGUAAAGCACUUUUGUCCGGAAAGAAAUCCUUGGCCCUAAUACGGUCGGGGGAUGACGGUACCGGAAGAAUAAGCACCGGCUAACUACGUG
RNAcentral lists this ribosomal RNA (486 nucleotides) under uncultured bacterium. Its description in RNAcentral is "partial 16S ribosomal RNA". It matches the Rfam family "Bacterial small subunit ribosomal RNA", at positions 30 to 507 of the family's 1533-position model. The record is from RNAcentral.